AUUGAACGCUGGCGGAAUGCUUUACACAUGCAAGUCGAACGGCAGCACGGACUUCGGUCUGGUGGCGAGUGGCGAACGGGUGAGUAAUGUAUCGGAACGUGCCCAGUCGUGGGGGAUAACGUAGUGAAAAUUACGCUAAUACCGCAUACGAUCUAUGGAUGAAAGCGGGGGAUCGCAAGACCUCGCGCGCUUCGCGCGGCCGAUAUCAGAUUAGGUAGUUGGUGGGGUAAGGGCCCACCAAGCCAACGAUCUGUAGCUGGUCUGAGAGGACGACCAGCCACACUGGAACUGAGACACGGUCCAGACUCCUACGGGAGGCAGCAGUGGGGAAUUUUGGACAAUGGGCGAAAGCCUGAUCCAGCCAUUCCGCGUGCAGGAUGAAGGCCCUCGGGUUGUAAACUGCUUUUGUACAGAACGAAAAGGUUUCUACUAAUACUAGGAGCUCAUGACGGUACUGUAAGAAUAAGCACCGGCUAACUAUGUGCCAGCCGCCGCCGUAA
This 500-nucleotide ribosomal RNA is filed under the name uncultured bacterium. Its description in RNAcentral is "partial 16S ribosomal RNA". It matches the Rfam family "Bacterial small subunit ribosomal RNA", at positions 30 to 523 of the family's 1533-position model. The record is from RNAcentral.